This 857-nucleotide ribosomal RNA is filed under the name Corynebacterium amycolatum. RNAcentral describes it as "bacterial SSU rRNA". It matches the Rfam family "Bacterial small subunit ribosomal RNA", at positions 536 to 1389 of the family's 1533-position model. The record is from RNAcentral. Lineage: Bacteria; Bacillati; Actinomycetota; Actinomycetes; Mycobacteriales; Corynebacteriaceae.
AUGCACGUGUCGGAUUACUGGGCGUAAGAGCUCGUAGGUGGUUUGUCGCGUCGUCUGUGAAAUUCCGGGGCUUAACUCCGGGCGUGCAGGCGAUACGGGCAUAACUUGAGUACUGUAGGGGAGACUGGAAUUCCUGGUGUAGCGGUGAAAUGCGCAGAUAUCAGGAGGAACACCGGUGGCGAAGGCGGGUCUCUGGGCAGUAACUGACGCUGAGGAGCGAAAGCAUGGGGAGCGAACAGGAUUAGAUACCCUGGUAGUCCAUGCCGUAAACGGUGGGCGCUAGGUGUGGGUUUCCUUCCACGGGAUCCGUGCCGUAGCUAACGCAUUAAGCGCCCCGCCUGGGGAGUACGGCCGCAAGGCUAAAACUCAAAGGAAUUGACGGGGGCCCGCACAAGCGGCGGAGCAUGUGGAUUAAUUCGAUGCAACGCGAAGAACCUUACCUGGGCUUGACAUAUACAGGAUCGCGCCAGAGAUGGUGUUUCCCUUGUGGCUUGUAUACAGGUGGUGCAUGGUUGUCGUCAGCUCGUGUCGUGAGAUGUUGGGUUAAGUCCCGCAACGAGCGCAACCCUUGUCUUAUGUUGCCAGCACGUUGUGGUGGGGACUCGUAAGAAACUGCCGGGGUUAACUCGGAGGAAGGUGGGGAUGACGUCAAAUCAUCAUGCCCCUUAUGUCCAGGGCUUCACACAUGCUACAAUGGUCGGUACAGUGGGUUGCCAGUCCGUGAGGGCGAGCUAAUCCCGCAAAGCCGGUCUCAGUUCGGAUCGGGGUCUGCAACUCGACCCCGUGAAGUCGGAGUCGCUAGUAAUCGCAGAUCAGCAACGCUGCGUGAAUUCCCUCCCGCGCGCGCGCUAUAUAUA